Molecule: unclassified non-coding RNA, 258 nt
Filed under: fungal sp.
Lineage: Eukaryota; Fungi
Description: partial internal transcribed spacer region
Rfam family: Eukaryotic small subunit ribosomal RNA (bases 1-46)
Source: RNAcentral
AAGUCGUAACAAGGUUUCCGUAGGUGAACCUGCGGAAGGAUCAUUAACAAGAAUUUGGGUGCGGCUGUGGGCGCAAGCCUGCGGCUGUCAUUCCAUAACACAUAUCUACCUUGUGAACUGUGAACCGAGUGCCUGGGCUGUGUUAUGCCGGUUUGGCUAGGCAGCCCGGGAACCCUUUUACAUUAACUGUCUUAAUAAAUUGCCGCAGUACGCGACACUAAAUUAAUACAACUUUUAACAAUGGAUCUCUUGGUUCCU